CCACACCAAACUCAAAAAGAAGAGAGUAGCUAGCUAAGCAUUACAAGUCUCUGUGUAACUACAGCAAAUUAACAAGAUCAAGAAGAUGCACGGUCCGGGAGGAGGUGGCGGCGGUCCGGGAGGACAAGGAGGCGGCGGUCCUGGAGGACAAGGAGGCGGCGGUCCUGGAGGACAAGGAGGCGGCGGUCCUGGAGGACAAGGAGGAGGCGGUGGUCAGGGAGGCGGUGGUCAGGGAGGUGGUCAGGGAGGCGGUGGUCAGGGAGGUGGUCAGGGAGGCGGGUGGUCAGGGAGGAGGCGGUCCAGGAGGCGGCGGUGGUCAGGGAGGAGGCGGUCCAGGAGGGCCAGGACAUCACGGCGGACACGGGGGUGGAGGUGGACCAGGUGGUCGCUGCUAAGUGCUAAUGGUUUCGACCAAGAACUUCUAGUGUACUUAUAUAUAUAUAUAUAUAUAUAUAUAUAUAUAUGCUGAUCAUGUUUUAUAGUUAAUUAGUUUACUAAUCAUGUUUAAGAUCACCGCACCAGACCAGCUCAGCUGGAGAGGAUCUGGGGAGGAUCAUGUGUCCGUCCAUAAUGGUACUAUGUUGAAUAUGCUGCAUAUUAUGAUAUCAAUAAAAUGGAGUUCCGUUUAUAUUUAUAUGAUAUGAUUGGAAUUAUAUGAAACCUUUUAUCAUUAUUGAUAAUUAAUCUAUGGCUUAUUUUUAGCCUGUUUGGAACUCCAUGUUAAUCUCACUUUAUUCUACCACAAAAGUCACCAAUUUACUCAAUAAAACUCUAAAUUCGUUUCAUUUGAUUUGUGGGCUCUCUUUUCUACCUGAAACUUAUAGGUCACCUCGAAAAACACAUGUAGAACCCAACACUCAAUAAGAAAACGUCACAUGUGCAAUAAAGUUGACUAUAAAUCUCUACUAUGCGUCAACAUUCAACAAUAAGAGAUUAUUAAGUUUAAAAAAAAUAAAAGAUAUUGAAAAAAAAAAUUGAUUAGCUUGCACCCAAAAUUAAACCAAAUAAGAAAUUAACAGAUUUAAGGCAAUGAGAAACUAAUUUUGAGUUUUAGAGGGACGACUUUCAAGUUUUAAGGGUCAAAAUGGAAUCAAAAUUGAGUUCUAGGGGCAAAGUGAAGCAAAUUUGGAGUUUUAGAUGAUAAAAUGACGACUUAUAAGUUACAGAGAGCAAAGUAAGACUAAAAUGGAGUUCUAGUGCAGAUAGCUAAAAAUAAAUCUUAAUCUAUUUCUAAAGAUCUUUAAUUUUUUUUUUUUUUAAGGGGAGACAAUUGGUGGCAAGCCACGGUUAUCCAUCCAUUUCGGGGCCGGGAAGACUUACAGAGGCAUUUCAGUCUUUUCCUGGCUACAAGUCUGGCUUCUACUCUAACAACGAGUUUUGAACCUAAGAACUUCAAUUUUUAAUUCAAACCCAAAAAUCUUUAAUUGAAUAUAUUAUAUAUAUCGAUACAAUACGAGAAGAUUACAAUUCUUUUUAACAAUUUAAUCGAUGGUAAAAUGGGAUAUCAAAGAAAUAGUUGCAAAAGUGGCUGUGUGCGAUGUCGCUGGAGUUUAAAAAUGUUUUGAAAAUAUAUACAUAGAGAGAGAGAGAGAGAGAGAGAGAGAGAGAGAGAGAGAGAGAGAGAGAGAGAGAGAGAGAGAGAGAGAGAGAUGUAUAUAUAAUUUUACAGUUUUUAAGGGAAGAGACUUCUAUUUUUUUAUAAAAUAAAGAUUAGUUAUGGGUUAACACCAAAUCGAACUUCAAUGAUUCAAAUCGUCUAUUUUUUAAGUUGCACCUCAUAGAUCAUCCUUACAAAAUAUUAGUCAAAUCAUAAAUAUUUGAGACAUCUAAUUGAGUUCAAAAAAAUUGAUAAACACUAUGUUUAAAGAAACUUGAAAUUUCAUCAUGUUACUAAAUUGGCACAUGGUUUCAGAUGAAAUUGAAUUUUUGCAUAAAUGAUAUGAAAAAUUGAGAUUUACAAAAUAAACGGUUUUGGAUCAUUGAGGUUUUGAUGUUGGAUGGGUCCCACUACUAAUCCCCAUUUCUUACAAAAUAAAAAAUAAAAAAACGAUCUCUCCUUAAAUGGCCUGUAUAAUUUUAUACUUACCAAAAGAUUGCAUUGUUCAAAAGAUACAAAUACUAUGAAAGUUAGAUUAUGACAUAAGUUGUAGUGUUCAACAUGUUGGUACCAUAUAUCGGGCCUCGUCUUUGAACCUCAUUACUGAGCCUAUAACCCAUGUAAAAGGAGGAAACCUUUACUCUUAAAAGGGAUCCUCCUCACCUUCACUAAGGGAGAAAAGAAGAGAGUCUCACAUCCCUCACAACAAUAGAGGGCAAUACCCUCUCAGCCAAACAGAGAGCAAAAUGGCAAGGGCUGCAUCCACAGAGAGCUCCAUUGCCGAUCUAUUGUAAUCCAUACAUUCAUACAGUGAAAUGUAAUCAACAUCAGUGUGGACGUAGCCCAAACAUUGGGGUGAACCACGAUACAUCUUUGUGUUCUUGUGCGUUUGUGUGAUUCGCAGUCGGAUCUAUGUUGGUCCAAGAUCCACCAGAUUUUGUGCAUCAACAUUUGGCGCCGUCUGUGGGAAACGACACGAAAAACUAUGUCGGUUCUCUUUCAUUUUUUUCAUCCCACCACCGUGAAUCUGCAAAAUCCUAUAACCAGAUCGGUUACUUAAAAUCGCCCACCUAACUAUAAUCUCUCUCUAUCCGAUUCAAACACUUGAACCUCACUACGACCUAAUCCAACCAACCCCCCAAAGAUUUCGUGAUUAGAGUUAAAGUUCGAACCUCAUGGCGCGGAUAAAGCUGCAGGUGCUGUUACUUCAGAGCAAGAAGAAGAAGAGGCCGACUGGAAUCAGUAUCACCAUCAUAGUUAUGUGCAAUUUAAUCAUCGCAUUGGUCGCCUUGUCGUUAGUCGCCACUUAUCGCUAUUGGUUACGAAGGUCGCUGGACCAAUAUGGGUCGGAGUUAUCUAAUCGAGAGGAUUUUGAUGGGUUUGGAAAGAAGGGCGAUCUCCCGGUUAUGCUGUUGAGAUGCUAGAAGUUGCAAAACCCUUCAACGAUGAUCCUGCAAAGCAAGAAAAUUUUGAGUGGUUUCUCAAGGAAAAAUACCAAGGAGGACUUCGAUCUACCGAGUCUGGUGGAGCUAGUCAUAUGUCAGAAGCAGUUCGUGCUCGUGAGAGAUUAGACCUUGAGGCUGCAGCUGAUGCAAUACAGAAGGAGAAUGAGGAGUGGAUUAACUCGAUCGGACGGUCCAUAGUUCAACACUCCAGCUGGCUCGCGGAUUCCAAGGUCGUCGAUUACGAUAGCAACCGACAGUGAUCACAACCUCUCGAUUUUCAUGUAAAAAUGAGGCAGCAACAGAUCCAGCUAUCCUAAGAAGUUUGGUGGAUAAGUUAGAAUUGACAUAUCUCACACAAGAGUCACUAGCCUUGCAUGAGAUGGUUUCUUUCAGUGGUGGGGAUCUUGGGGAGAGCAUUGAGAAGAUGCCCACCAACUUCUGAAAAAGAUAAGACUUUCAUCAUGAAGAGGAGUGCAUGUUCCCACCAUGCCCACUUUCUGAAAAAACCCACAAGACAACUGUGAAGAAGAUAAGAAAUCUAUAUUCUUUAAUCAUGCCAGCUUUAAUCAUUCAUUAACUAGUUUAUUAUUUAAUAGUUUAUUAUUAUUUUGUGUUGGUGGACGCUUUAAAGUAUGCAUAUUAGAGACCACAUCAUUUCUUUCAUGGAUGUCAUCACGCUCCACUGCUUGUGCAAUAGCAGUAGCUUGACGAGACCACAGUAUUAUUUAAUAGUUUAUUAUUUAAUCAUCCAUGAACUAGUUUAUUAUUUAAUAGUUUAUUAUUAUUUUGUGUUGGUGAACGCUUUACAAUAUGCAUAUUCUUUGAGGAGACCACAUCAUUUCUAUCACACUUAUAUUUUAGUACACAGUUAGCAAUAUAUUAUUUGUUUUCAUGAUCUGUGUGCAUAUAGUGCGGCACCUCAGAAUAUAUAUAUAUAUAUAUAUAUAUAUAUAUAUAUAUAUAUAUAUAUAUGAUCUGAUAGUGCGGCACCUCACAAUAUCUGCUUUUCUACUACUGCUGUGUGCUUAUCAUGCCGGGUCACGACGCAUACACAUCAUUACUACUAUCAUUAUUUUACUAUCAUAUAAAUUGCAUUUCUACCUAAACGAACGGGGUGACAUGUUAUAAUAAUAUGUUUUACAUUAUUAUUAAUGAUUUAUCACAUGACUAUUUUCCAUAACAUGUGGCAAGUCUGACCAAAUUACACCUUUUAUUAUUUGAAUGUUACAGUGACAUAACUUUGGUGGUUCAUGACACGGACUUUGUUGAUCAACAUUGUUGUUGAUUAAAGAAGUCUAUCGACACUAUUGAUGUCUACAGAUCACUGAGCCACAUGCUUAUGGUGACAAAGAUUUAGUACGAAUGGUGAUCUCUUAUCUGACCGGACACCCACUUGCUGGGAUACUCGCUUAUUUGGACACCUAUGUGCCUGGACACCCUUGAGCUCGAACCUCGACUCACGGACCCAACUCAAAGACCCUACAGAUGGCCCCGACUCGAUGACCCUACGUAUGGCCCCGACUCAAAGACCCGAUCCGAAGAUCCGACACAUAGACCCAAUAUGCGAACUCGACAAGCGGCCCCGAGUCAUGUUAAGAAUCAACUCAUAAUGAGCGCAUGCUGACAUCGAGUGCAUACUCGCAACGAGGAACGCCACAAGCUGAGCCGCCUCGCAACAAGUACCGCCUCCAACCGAGCAACCGUCUGGCCGAGAGCAUCGCCUCUAGCCGAGCAGCCUCGCAACGUGUGCUACCUUUAAUUGAAUAUUGCUUGACGUUAAACACCAUCUUAUGUCAAGUACCAGUUUUGGACGAUAUCUAGUCACUUCGGCCCGUACAUGGAUUGGAUUUGAAGUCUCCAGUCAAAAGACUCUCUUGACUGAAGACUUGGGGGACUCCUGUUGGUACCAUAUAUUAGGCCUCGUCUUUGGGCCUCAUUAUUAAGCCCAUAACCCAUGUAAGAGGAGGAAACUCUUACUCUAUAAAAGGGAUCCUCCUCACCUUCACUAGGGGAGAAAAGAAGAGAGUCUCACAUCCCUCACAACAAUAGAGGGCAAUACCCUCUCAGCCAAACAGAUCUCAAAAUGGCACAUAAUGAGCACACGUUAAUGAACCCGACAAGCGGACUCGAGUCAUGUCAAGAAUAAACUCAUAAUGAGCGCACACCGACGUCGAGUGCAUACUCGCAACGAGGAACGCAACAAGCCGAGUCGCCUCGCAACGAGCACCGCCUCCAGCCGAGCAACCGCCUGGCCGAGAGCAUCGCCUCUAGCCGAGCAGCCUCGCAACGUGUACUACCUCUAGCUGAGUAUUGCUUGACGUUAAACACCGUCUUAUGUCAAGUACCAGUUCUGGACGACAUCCAAUCAUUUCGGCUCGUACAUGGAUUAUAUUUGAAGUCUCCAGUAAAAAAACUCUCUUGACUGAAGACUUGGGGGACUCCUGUUGGUACCAUAUAUUGGGCCUCGUUUUGGGGCCUCAUUACUGAGCUUAUAACCCAUGUAAGAUGAGGAAACCCUUACUCUAUAAAAGGGAUCAUCCUCACCUUCACUAGGGGAGAAAAAAAGAGAAUCUCACAUCCCUCACAACAAUAGAGGGCAAUACCCUUUCAGCCAAACAGAGGGCAAAAUGGCAAGGGCUGCAUCUACAUAGAGCUCCCUUGCCGAUCUAUUGUAAUCCAUACAUUCAUAUAGUGAAAUGGAAUCAACAUCAGUGUGGACGUAGUCCAAAUAUUGGGGUGAACCACGAUACAUCUUUGUGUUCUUGUGUGUUUGUGUGAUUCACAAUCGGAUUUACGUUGGUCCAAGAUCCACCAGAUUUUGUGCAUCAACACAACCACUAAUUAUUCAAAAGAUAGAAAUGCUAUAAAAGUUGGAUAUAUAUACAUAUGUCCACAAUUAUCAUAAAGUUGGCACUGCUCAUGUGCUCGAUGUUCACAAAGAUUUUUCCUAGACAUCUUAGUUCUUGCUUGUUUGUGAAUGAACAUCUUUCGUUCGUCACCAUGUUGUAGAAAUGGUGCCUUUUCUUUUUUGUUUUGUUCAAAAUUUCUUCUAGCUUGUUCUAUAUUAGGAAAUUGAAUAAAUUUGUCAAUGUAUUACAAAUCGAACACAAACAAGCAAUAUUGAUGUUUGAAUAUGGAAUACUUUUCUCUUCCAUUAAUUUGUGUUCAAGAAUUAUGGUGUUAAAUUACAACCAUCUCGGGUUUAUUAAAUCUGCUGAACUUAUGAAAAAUUUACCUACAACUCGGGUUUUUUUAAAUCUAAUGAAUCUCAUUUGCUUUAGGUUUAUGGAACUUUUUGGACCUACAACACAUGUUUAUUAAACAUACCCUAAGAGGCUAAGAUAUGUAUACACUUUCACAUAAAACUUACUCACAAACACUAAACCUCUAGCAUGGGUUGAUUUAUAACAUGGCACACACUUUUAAUUUGAUGGAUGGCAAUUGUGAAUAGGUUACGUUAUGGACUUCACUCAACAACAUAUGAAAUAAAUGAACAGAGAUCAUUAAGCCCCUAUAAAAUAAUAAGAUGGGUUCUGUGGGGGUGUAAUUUCCUCUAAGUUAAUUAGUUAAUUUGGUACUUACAGAAGUAACUGAUCACAGUGUGGUUUACUGCAAAAUUUCCUCUCCUUUUAUUUUAAGUACGAUGCGAAUCUAACUACAAACAACCUGCUAAGCAGACCAAUUAGCAAAUAAAACCCUAUAUAAUACUGCAGCUAAUUACUAAAAACCCUACAUGCAGCAGGUCAGGGGUAAUUUAAUCGCUGCAAAAACGAGCUUCUGAAGUACGAGCCGGUGGUGACAUGAAAGUCUUUUUCUCGACUUGUAGAUAAGGGCUUUCUCGACUUGUAGAUAAGGGCUGACGGAUCUUGGUUGGCUCCUGCCAACCAGUCUACCACUACCAGUCUUAUAAAAUAACUUAGGGUAUUUUGAUAAUCUCCUUGAAUUCAACUUUUUAAACUCAAAAAUAAUUUUCAAGUUUUAGGUCUUAAAAACUUGUUUGGUAUGACUAUUUAAAAAACUAAACUAAAAAAUAUAGUUUAUUAUCUAAAAAUACAAAAAAUGAGUUUUUAAAGUUUUUAAACUUAAACUCAUUCAUUUAUUUUCUCUCCUCUCACUCCAAUUCUGUUUCUCUUUUCUUAUUUCUCUCUCCUCAUUCUCUCUUUUUUUUUAAUAUUUUUUCGUCUCUCCUCUAAUCCGCUUUCUUCAUUAUUUCGGUUCUUUCUCUCACUUCUCUUCCUCGAUCCUCUCUCUUCUUUCUCUUUCCUCCAAUUAUCUCUUACUUUCUUUCCUCCUCUCUCAUUUUUCUCUCUCCCGCGACCCCUUUUUUUAGAUCUCUUUGUCUAGUUUAAGUCGUAAAAUUUAAAAUUUUUAAAUCACAUACCAAUCAAGUUUUUGAAUCUUAAAGAAAAUUGUUUUCAAUAAAUGUUCUUAAGAAAUAUUUUGAAAAAUGAUGAAAAUUUUCGAAUAUGAUACCAAACAGAGCCUUAUUUUAUUCCCAGUAAAAGAAUAGUUGAUUACGUAUAAUCUUCUUGUAUCCUAUACAUUUUUAGAUGGAUAAAAAUUCAUAUAAUUUGAAAGAUCUUUUUUUUAUGCGGCACCUUCACAACGAAGAAAAGUAGCUACUAAUUACUGGCUAGCAUUUGAAGAUAAUGUAAGUGGAAGUUGGUCUUUUGGUUUUUGCACCGACAUGAUUGCAUUAUAAAACCCCACUACUUUAUUCAGCAGUUCGCCACACCAAAUCAAAAAGAAGAGAGUAGCUAGUUAUAUCGAAGCAUUACAAGUCUCUGUGUAACUACAUCAAAUUAACAAGAUCAAGAAGAUGCACGGUCCGGGAGGAGGCGGCGGCGGUCCGGGAGGACCAGGCGGCGGUCAUGGAGGGCCAGGCGGCGGCGGUCAUGGAGGGCCAGGCGGCGGCGGUCAUGGAGGGCCAGGCGGCGGAGGCCCGGGAGGACAAGGCGGCGGCUUUGGAGGACCAGGAGGCGGCUUUGGAGGACCGGGAGGCGGAGGCGGCUUUGGAGGACCAGGCGGCGGCUUUGGAGGACCAGGCGGCGGCUUCGGAGGACCAGGCGGCGGCUUUGGAGGACCAGGCGGCGGUUUGGGAGGGCCAGGCGGCGGUUUGGGAGGACCAGGCGGCGGUUUUGGAGGGCCAGGCGGCGGUUUUGGCGGUCCCGGCGGCGGUUUUGGAGGGCCAGGCGGCGGUCCGGGAGGACCAGGGCAUCAAGGCGGACACGGGGGUGGAGGUGGAGGUGGACCAGGUGGAGGUGGAGGUGGAGGUGGACCAGGUGGAGGUGGACCAGGUGGUCGCUGACUCGUUGCUAAGUGCUAACUAAUGGUCUCGGCCAAGAACUUCUGGUGUACAAGAAGUAGUUUAUAUAUAUAUAUACAUAUAUAUGCUGUUCAUGUUUUAUAAUUAAUUAGUUUACUAAUCAUGUUUAAGAAUUAAGAUCACCACCAGACCAGCUCAUCUGGAGAGGAUCUGGGGAGGAUCAUGUGUCUGUCACUAUGUUGAAUAUGCUGCAUAUUAUGAUAUUUCCAUUUAUAGUAUAUGCAUGAUUGCUCUUUUCUCUAGUGCUUUAUUUAGAAACCUUUUAUCAUUCUUGAUAAUUAAUCUAUUUCCAAUGAUCUCUAAUUAUUAUAUAUAUCGGUAAGAAUUUAAAGAUGGUAAGAUGGGAUAUCAAAGAAAUAGUAGCAAACGUGGUUGUGUGAUGUUGCUGGAGUUUAAAAUGUUUUGGAAAUAUAUACAUUACCAGAACAGAGGUUAUAAAAAGUAGAUUUUUUAUAGUCUUCAAGGGAAGGACUUUCA
Molecule: long non-coding RNA, 8845 nt
Filed under: Malus domestica (apple)
Lineage: Eukaryota; Viridiplantae; Streptophyta; Magnoliopsida; Rosales; Rosaceae
Description: long non-coding RNA (MDOM_LNC014617)
Source: RNAcentral